CGGGCCAACGAGUUACGUUAAGUAGCAAGGUUAAGCACUUAAGGUGCGGAGCCGUAGCGAAAGCGAGUUUUAACUGAGCGUUCAGUUAUUUGACGUAGACCCGAAACCGGGCGACCUACCCAUGAGCAGGAUGAAGCGAAAGUAAAAUUUCGUGGAGGUCCGAACCCACGAGCGUUGAAAAGCUCGGGGAUGACUUGUGGGUAGCGGUGAAAUUCCAAUCGAGCCCGGAGAUAGCUGGUUCUCCCCGAAAUAGCUUUAGGGCUAGCCUCAAGG
RNAcentral lists this ribosomal RNA (273 nucleotides) under Clostridioides difficile. RNAcentral's name for it is "partial 23S ribosomal RNA". It matches the Rfam family "Bacterial large subunit ribosomal RNA", at positions 616 to 887 of the family's 2925-position model. Lineage: Bacteria; Bacillati; Bacillota; Clostridia; Peptostreptococcales; Peptostreptococcaceae. The record is from RNAcentral.